GGCCGACAGAGUGUAUUGUUCUGGUAGGUGACCAUUGAUCUCAUGAGUCUCUCGGACAAUAAGAGUUGCCAGUGCAUGCUUUCUGUGAAUCAAGACGGGUUCAUUGGCUUCCUGUGGAAGGAUCGCCGACUGCGCUUGCUUCCUGACUCGGUGGAGUCCGUGCUUGUCUACGUAGAGAACGAGAUCCUUUGGGUAUUGGAUUCCACAGUGCAAAGCCCUAG
This 221-nucleotide small RNA is filed under the name Caenorhabditis elegans. Its description in RNAcentral is "Unclassified non-coding RNA T24H5.2". Lineage: Eukaryota; Metazoa; Nematoda; Chromadorea; Rhabditida; Rhabditidae. The record is from RNAcentral.